This 306-nucleotide ribosomal RNA is filed under the name uncultured bacterium. RNAcentral describes it as "partial 16S ribosomal RNA". It matches the Rfam family "Bacterial small subunit ribosomal RNA", at positions 507 to 808 of the family's 1533-position model. The record is from RNAcentral.
GACAGCAGCCGCCGCGGUAAUACGUAUGUCGCAAGCGUUAUCCGGAAUUAUUGGGCAUAAGGGCAUCUAGGCGGCCCUGUAAGUCUAGGGUGAAAACCAGCGGCUCAACCGCAGGCCUGCCCCGGAAACUACAGGGCUAGAGUAUCGGAGAGGUGGACGGAACUGCACGAGUAGAGGUGAAAUUCGUAGAUAUGUGCAGGAAUGCCGAUGAUGAAGAUAGUUCACUGGACGGUAACUGACGCUGAAGUGCGAAAGCUAGGGGAGCGAACAGGAUUAGAUACCCCCGUAGUCCCUGUCUCUUAUACA